AGGACGUGUGGCCCAAUGGCAAGGCGCUUGACUACGAUUACAAGCAGUGAUCAAGAGAUUCCAGGUUCGACCCCUGGCACGUUCAG
This is a non-coding RNA of Periconia digitata, 86 nucleotides long. The record is from the annotation of a GenBank genome assembly. NCBI's taxonomy places the organism in Eukaryota, Fungi, Ascomycota, Dothideomycetes, Pleosporales, Periconiaceae.